Molecule: RNA transcript, 4476 nt
Organism: Siniperca chuatsi (mandarin fish)
Lineage: Eukaryota; Metazoa; Chordata; Actinopteri; Centrarchiformes; Sinipercidae
Gene name: ADP-ribosylation factor-like protein 3
Exons: 7
Source: RefSeq, a predicted model, not a curated record
AAAUCGAGUGAAAAGUGUUCUUUCUGUAUUCAUGAAUCUGUCAUACAAAUAUUUUUAGUCAUAUGUUGCAUGGUGCAUUUUUGGUCCUCGUGCUAGAGACGCCUAGCUGUCACGUUGUUGACGCUGACGUCACGGUUUCCCAGGCAACAGAACUUGACAGCUGUUCUCCCAAGAGGCAUGAAAGAUUUUAAUCCACUCAGCCUGAGCAAGGGCCACAACACCAACACCUGAGGAAAACAUGGGCCUGUUGUCCAUUCUUCGGAGGCUGAAGCAGUCUCCAGAACAGGAGGUGCGCUUACUGUUGCUUGGCUUGGACAAUGCUGGCAAGACCACUCUGCUGAAACAGCUGGCAGCCGAAGAUAUCAGCCACAUCACCCCCACACAAGGCUUUAAUAUAAAGAGUAUUCAGUCGUCUGGCUUCAAGCUGAAUGUUUGGGACAUUGGAGGUCAGCGCAAGAUCCGCCCCUACUGGAGGAAUUAUUUUGAGAACACAGAUGUGCUGAUUUAUGUGAUUGACAGCUCAGACAGGAAAAGGUUUGAAGAGUCGAGUCUGGAGCUGGCUGAGUUGCUGGAGGAGGAAAAGCUUGCUGCUGUGCCACUGCUAAUCUUUGCCAACAAGCAGGAUCUGAUGACAGCCAGCCCAGCGUCUGAGCUGGCAGAGAGUCUCAAUCUGCACACUAUCCGGGAUCGCAUGUGGCAGGUCCAGGCCUGCUCAGCAGUCACUGCUGAGGGAGUGCAGGAUGGCAUGACCUGGGUUUGCAGAAAUAUAACGUUUCAGAAGAAAUAAUUCAGGAAGUAAAAGAGCCGUGAAGAAUUGCAGUUGCACUUUACAUUUGACCCACCGAGUCAUUUUAUGUCCAGGACAAGGAGAGCGGCUUAUGGCCACACCUACCAGAACCUACCAGCACGUGUUCUGCUCAGGUACAGAAGAAAUCUGUAUCAUGAGGAAAAUGACCAUAAAACAUGAACACUUGGACAUGCACGCAGGAAACCGACCACAAGACAUCUCUCUUGCAUACACAAUAAGCCAUACAGAUACACCUUGGCCAUUCAAUUACUCAACUUCUCACCUUGUUCACCAUGAUUUACCACAAGGCAAUUGCAUUUUCUGACUAUUUUUCUAUUUUGUCUUUUGCAGCACAUUUGCCACAAACCCCACUAAUCUGAACUGGCCGAGUGCUCCUCUGUGGUCCUAUAGGGCAUUUACAUACAAACCUUUUCCAGGACUAAUAGCUCUCCAAUACAAUUUGCAUUUAUAUAGCCCCCUUCAUACCAACAUGAUUUGGUGCCUUUGCCCAUGAUAAAAAUAAACCUCCUCCUUUGGCCUUGAGUUACUGCCCUGCUGCUGCUGGUAUGUGUGUUCGAGAGUGUCCCUCUACGUAUGUAAGGUUGGUUGAUUUUAAUAUGUCAGAGCUGCUUGAUCCUCAGAUGGAGACUGAAACAAGUGCAGAAAACCUCAAAAUGGACCUCAUAAUGAUUCAGCCCUCCGUAUGGGCGUUGGUCUCGUGGUAGUGUGUUCUCUUCUAUACAGUAAGACGGUGUAGUCUCUCAUUUGUCCAGGAAUGUACUAUACAGUACAUUUGAAUAUUGUUGAUACAGCAGCGUGGGACACUUGACCAGGGCAAAGAGUCACAAGGUAAAUAUUAAGCCACAAAAGAUUUUCUUAGACAAACUGAAAAAGGAAAUCUACCGUUAUUCAGUUAAAGCUGCUUUCAAUUUGCUCGUACAAACGCAUCCAACACUUUUACAAGGCUCUAUGGAGCAUACAUCAAAAGAGAAAAAAGUAAUGAAUAAGGAAAUUAAAGUCUACCAUGUGAGACUGAGAAUAAAAUGCCCCCUCUCACCCCUUUGGAGUGCUUAAUCAUUAACAUCUAACCAUGUGAUUAUCACCUAACCUGUAAAAAUGUACCCAAUUACAUAUAGAAGUACUCUGAUAAAUCUUUCUAAUUGUAUCUACCAACAGCAUCAGAAGGCAAAAGCUGUGAAGUGCCUUUAAACCCCAAAUGAAUAAAAUUGGAUUUACUAAAUAGAACGGUGGAUUGGAGCAACCAGUCCUUGUUACCCCUGGCUAUAUCAUAAGCGAGGUGAGAAGCAGUCAGGCCUGCAAAGGGCCAUAAAUCAUGGGACUUUCCCAGCUACUCAGGCCAGCACACCGGCCUCCCACACAGGGGAAACGAAGGGCAGAGUCUGAUUGACUCGCAGGGCCAGAGAGAGAAAAAGGGGGGCGAGAUCCUGUGACUUAAUUAAAGUGUUGUGUAUCUCACACAUUGUAACUACAGCUCAGUCACUUCAGUGCUACAGCAGUGUUGUCAGAUGCGUCAGUGUUGACUCAGAUGGUGAUUUGACUUAGAAGAAAGUAUUUCGACCUCAACCAGAUCUUUAAAAAAAAUAUGUAAUAUGCAAAAAUAUGUCAGUGGACAGAUGUUUUUACGUUCUACUUAUCUAAUGAUGGAAACCAGAUAAGUAGAGGCCAGGCAAAAUUCUCUAAUAGUGAUAAACCAGACUGGUACACUAGGUUUCACAUGUGACCAUGGUUCUCUGAGGUUCUAACGAAAAGAUGCUAUUUAGGUACAACAUGGGAAUUGAAAGGUCUAGCAUUUUUUGAGCUUGACCCAUACAAAGGAAUUAAAUUCAGGAUAUAUAGGACUUUUGCUGGAUCAAUUUUGACCAUUCUUUUUUAAUCUGUCUCUUGUGAGUCCCCGAAAUUGUCAGAGAUUAAGUGCAGUACUAAAUUGCUGGAGAACCCCUUUAUAGUGAUUUUCUGCAUUACCUGACUCAUGUGGGUCCCAUACAUCAGGAAUAUGUAACUGUGUGGGGAGAUCGUCUCACUGCCAUAAGGAACUACAUAUUUUGAGACUGUUGGUGAACCAAACGUAAACAUUUAUAUGCACUUUCAUAUGGCCUGUCAUGUAGAUGACCACACUGACAGAGCAGAUUUGUCUCUCUUCUUUCAGUAGGGGUAAAACCAUGAUUACAAUGGUAUUUCAACACAGGUGGUUCUGCAAUAUGAUAUAAAGCAAGGCAAACAUCUACAAUACACUAAUACAUCUGUGUAACAGCCUCUCAAAUAUGAAGAGUUGUUGCUUUUCUCUCUUUUAUUUCAUUGUAAAUUGAAUUUUUUUGGGUUUUGGACUGUUGGUCCGAGCAUACGAGCAAUGUGAAGGCAUCACCUGAGGCUCUGGGAAAUUGUGAGGGGCAUUUUUCCACAGUUUUUUGACAUUUCAUAGACCACAUGAUUAACCAAGAAAAUUAUUGGCAGAUUAAUCAAUAAUAAAAAUAAUCUAUAGUUGAUGAUGUAUUAUAAUAUUGUCAACAGUGUAUCAAUAAUGUCUUACAAGAGAACAUAUGUUACUGAUUAUUUGUCUAAACUGUAACGUUAAGGAGCAUAAGUAGUGGACUAGCUGCAGCUGAUUCACUCAGAUGCAUCUUUACUGUAACAGCAACCGUUGUAAUGUCAAAGUAAACUGUUCUUCUGCUCUCUCUUCAAAUUCAACUCCCAUGUACCUUGUAAGCUGCUAUGACCAAAACGAACCUGGCUCAUCUCUCCAGUAACCAUUACAGUGUUGGGGAUAGUUUUUUUGGCCAGCACAGCAUCCCUCCUGCCUCAUUCCCGAGCCAAUCUUUUAUGAUUAAGCAGAUAAGUGCUGGUACUGGAUGAUAAAACAAACAACAAAUGUCCACAUUCCUCCCAUAGCUCCUUUGAUGUGUGUGUGUAUGCCUUACCGCUUCAAAUCCCCUUUGCUAUAAUCAAACUGCAGAGUCAUAAACAGCGAGGGAUGGGGACUAUAAAAAUGAUCAGGAGGCUCUAUCAGCUGGGGGACAGAAGUUCACACCUCAGAGCGGGUCAGUCUCAGAGCGUGGAGGGGAGUCGGCCUGGGGGUCGGCCUGGCAGGGGGUCCGUGGCUUUGUUUGAUGCUCCUGUGACAGAAAGCAGAAAGGGAGAGAUAGCGUCAGGAUGAACCAAGAGCUUGUGUGGUAAUACAGUGGGAUGCUACCAGAAACUUUUCUGGAGGGUAUUAGUGAUUUAGCUAAUUCAGCAGGUAGAGCACUGGGAUCUGAGCAAAGUCAAACUAUGUAAGAAUCUGGGAUGAGUCUUUUCAGAUAAUGCUUCUGGCUUUUGGGGGUUUCCUGAACAGGUAAAUUGUAAUACAGUUUAUUACUUGAUCAGUUCUGGGAGUUCAUCAUUUUAUACCAGUUUUUGGCCAUGGUGGUGUUUAUAUGGUGGGAACCUCUAAACAUUUUGACUUUGCAUCAACAGCUGCUCACUCGGACAUUUUGCACGCACACCCUUGCAUUAGUGUGGUAAAAUUGGAUUCAUCUAUUUCUUAUUUUUCAAAACAGGUUACGGUGUAAUAUUCAUGAUGCUCAGAACAAAUUGUUCCCUGUUGAUGUGAAGAAUUUAACCAAAAAGUCAAGAUUUUGGUGUCUUAUAAGCACUGUAACUAUAAUCACAAUAAAUAACUACAUAUCUAACUG